Molecule: long non-coding RNA, 820 nt
Filed under: Crocodylus porosus (Australian saltwater crocodile)
Lineage: Eukaryota; Metazoa; Chordata; Crocodylia; Crocodylidae
Description: lncRNA (ENSCPRG00005000357.1)
Source: RNAcentral
GCACAACCAGCCUCGCUGCGGACUUCGCACCGCGCGCCACUGUGAUUGGUCCUCGCUGCUGUCAUUCCCCCGAGACGGGGGCGGGGAGAGUCUGACGUCACCGGGAAAGGUGCUGCUAGCAGAGUUUUAUAUACUCUGAUCAUCUUUAUACUGGACUUGUUACUGAAUCUUUUGGAGUGGCUGGAGCCUGAGGACAAGGACACAAGCAGCAGGACAGAUGCAAGAGAAAAGCAGGUGAAGCCACAACCAGAUCAGCAUGCUGCUGUUUCAGGAGGGAAGUAUGGCAUUUAUCUGUGGUCAGAACACAGUGGGUCUCAUCCUAUCUCAAAGUGUCAUGACAAUACUGGCCCAAAGCAGAUGCCUGCUGAAUCUGCAAGUCUUACAAACAUCCAGCUCGGCUGUUCACCUAUGUCCAAAAUGAUGUACAGACCUGGGAGGCAGCUGCCUAAACUAUCACGCAUGUCCCAUCAGUUGCCCAGAAAACAGGCUCUUCAAAACCACCACCAAGUGAAACCAGCCCAAACUGAUGUGUUGAAGGAGAAAGUCACAAGUGUUUCAUCUCCAGUCAAACCAUUCUCUGCUCCUUCCCAGCAAUUUCCACCUCUCCCACCAAGAAGGCUGUAUGUGAAACCAUCAUCACUGCAUCCCAUCUACGUCAGUCUGUUAUGAGCCCCCCAUGCUGGAGCAAUGGAACCUUGUCCACGAAGGGUAAAAAGAGGUUAUCAUAUGACAGGGAAUCAUCACAAAUCUCCCCAGCAUCUGCCUGCUGCCAUAUGUAGAGAGGAAGGAAGCAGAGCAUCACUCAACAUUGUGAUAUUGC